Molecule: RNA transcript, 5013 nt
Organism: Cercocebus atys (sooty mangabey)
Lineage: Eukaryota; Metazoa; Chordata; Mammalia; Primates; Cercopithecidae
Gene: SPIN3
Gene name: spindlin family, member 3
Exons: 3
Source: RefSeq, a predicted model, not a curated record
GGAGGAGACUGCGGCGCGGCAGCGACUAGAGCGAGUCGGUUGUGGCAGAGGGGCUGCGGCCGCCGCAACUGCCACCGCCAACAGGAAGGCGGAGGACGCAGGAGCCAAGAGCAAGGGACGCCGCCACGGUCCUCUUCGCCUGUCCCGCCGCCCUCUUAGAGACACUCCUUGCCUACGGAUCAUCCUCUCCCAGCUUUUGCAAGCACCGGGCUGCUAGCCCGCUGAUAUUCCUUCUCUAUAGGCUCACUGCUGAGGCUACGGCGAGGUGUCCGAUUUGGGCACUUGAGGCCCGCAAUCCGGGACGGUGGGGAAUCUGCGCCUCCUGGCCGGGUAGUGUUGGAAGCAGGGCGAGGGGAAUGGGGAAAUGCUUCCUAUUUUACCGAACCGCAGAUCUCUUGCUCUAGCUUAGCCAGACUGAGCUGGGGAGGAAGGUUACUGCAGGCGUUCAGCCAGGGUGCCUUGAUUUCCAGCUUUGCUGUGUAGCUUUCGGGAAAAACGGGCGUGGGUGUACGGGGUGCGCUGAUUAGGAGAAAAAGGUCUCCGUGUUAUGCACUGAUUUUGUUAAUUUCCUUUCUCGGUCCACCUGGCAACUGUGCUCCUCCACGCAGGCAUGAAGACCCCGUUUGGAAAGGCAGCUGCAGGGCAGCGGUCUGGGACAGGCGCUGGCCACGGCAGCGUGUCUGUUACCAUGAUGAAGAGGAAGGCUGCACACAAGAAGCAUAGGAGCCGACCCACCUCCCAGCCUCGGAGGAACAUCGUGGGCUGUAGAAUUCAGCACGGAUGGAAAGAUGGAGAUGAACCUCUAACACAGUGGAAAGGAACCGUUCUGGAUCAGGUACCUGUAAAUCCCUCUCUGUAUCUUAUCAAAUAUGAUGGAUUUGACUGUGUUUAUGGAUUGGAACUUCACAGAGAUGAAAGAGUGUCAUCACUUGAAGUCCUUCCUAGUAGAGUUGCAUCAUCUAGAAUCAGUGAUACACACUUGGCAGAAAUAAUGGUUGGCAAAGCAGUGGAACAUAUUUUUGAGACAGAGGAAGGUUCCAAAAAUGAAUGGAGGGGGAUGGUCUUAGCUCAGGCACCUGUCAUGAACACAUGGUUUUACAUUACCUAUGAGAAAGAUCCUGUAUUAUAUAUGUACCAGCUCUUAGAUGAUUAUAAAGACGGUGACCUCCGCAUCCUUCAAGAUUCCAAUGAUUCUCCUCCCGCAGAGAGGGAGCCAGGAGAAGUCAUAGACAGCCUGGUAGGCAAACAGGUGGAGUAUGCCAAAGACGAUGGCUCCAAGAGAACUGGCAUGGUCAUUCAUCAGGUAGAAGCAAAACCCUCUGUGUACUUCAUCAAAUUUGAUGAUGAUUUCCAUAUCUAUGUCUACGAUUUGGUAAAAACGUCUUAGAGAUCAUCUUGAAAUUUGCCAAAUAUAUGAGACUCUAAAUCUGUAGACACAAAAAGUCUUGAUUGCUUUCCAGUUUGUAAGAACCAUCUUCUCCCUUUUUGCACGUUUUGCUUGGCAAAAAAUUGGAACUUCUGCCCUCUCAUAUGUUUUUGGAAGAAACCUUUUGCCCAUCUGUCCAAGCUUUUCACUGGUUCCUGUCCACAAUUUAACUGUUUAGUGAGAAGGGUGAAACCUGACAUCCAUUGGCUCAUACUUUUUUUUUUUUAUCUUGGGUGGUGUUAAUAGAUUAAAGGUAGCUGAACACCUCUCACCUCAUUCUUUUUGGCACUUGGACUCUACACUCAUUGAGGUGUGAAGCUUGCUGAGAUACCCCAUGUGACUGGCUGGCUCCUUUGAAUAAACCUGCCCGCCACCAAGAACCUAUACAUGACUUUCUUUUCAUUGUAUCAAAGUAAUGUGUCCACCGGUGUGAGCACCAGCAACUCACUUCUUCCUCAGACAUCUCUAAAGCUGGAAAGAUUUUGAGGGACAGUAUGGUUUCCUUCACCCCACCCCAAUGUUAUGAAUGAGACCAGGAGACCAACAGCAAACAUCUGGAAGGUUAAGAUGGUGGCAAACUGAUGAUGCUUCAUCUACUUUUACUCUCUCACUGAAUAAUCCAUGAUGGACUGGAGAAUCUCAAUGAUUGGUUCACCAUACUCUGGCAGAAAUUCCUACUGACUGCCAUAUAGGUAGGGCUUGACUAAGAAACUCUUGGUAACCAAUGCAGACUCAGACCUCUUGAAAAAAAAAACCAGCAGGGCCAAGCUGGAUAAAAGCCAAAAUUACUAUGUUUGCCAAAUUACACUGUCAGGUUUUGUAGAACAGCUAGGACUCUCAUAUACCUAAAGAUUGUGAAAAGAUGUAUAGAGAUUGCUGAGGUUGUAAAUAUAUGUUGUGUUUAAUCUAACACUGUAAUCUACAAUGGCCUUUCAAUGAAAGUUUAAGGAAUUUGGAAUCUGUUCUGCAGGCAGAAGGGAAAGUAUUGAUGAUUUUGAGCAGUGACAAUAGGAUCAGAUGCAUGCUUUAAAAGGUCUAGAAGUAUAAAGGGUAUAUGUAUAUUAGGGCUGGAGUGGCUGGAGGCUGGGAGACAAACUUAUUGCAAGACUCCACAUAAAAUCAUAUUUACCUCACUGAGUCCUGUCCUCAGGUAAAUACUGUUAAUUAAAAGGGUUUCACCAUUUAUAGAGCCUUCAGAUUAUUUAUCCUUAAUGUUAUUAUCCCCACAUGUGCUCAUGAACAAGCCUCUCAGAUCUUCUGCUCCCGUCUUGUGAUGGUAGCAUGUUCCUGCUUCUGGUGGUGCUAAACCCUGGGCAAUCAUCUGUCCUAGGAACAGCUGUUCUUCAUGGGUGACUGCUGUGAAACCAACAGCAUGGCCUCUUUUCUAUUUAAUCCUAAGAGUGGGCAUAAGGUAAGCAUUUGUAAGAUUUUACUGAAAGUAUUGGAGUAUAAGAAGGAAAAUGCUACACUGAAUAUAAUUAUAACUAUUCAGGCACAGACCAAUCCCAGAGUCUCUUACCAAGUUGACUCUCCUGUCUGUCUUCCUUUUCUGCCUUCACUUGGCUUCAGACAGCUCACCUUCCAAUCACUGGAAGUGUUUAGAGCAUCUCCACAUCUCUCCACAAGGUGGAGAUCAAGGCCAAAUUUUUCACCAGCCCCAGAUACUGGAAGGAGUAUUUUUUUCUUCAUUCAUAAUCAAUGUAAGGACUGCCUUCUAGGUCUUUAUUUCAUAUUCAUACAUUGAAUCUGACAGUGGCAACAUAUUACCUUUAGAGGAAAUUCUGUCUAUGCCUAAAGCAGUGUGGUCUAGCUUUAUGGUUUGAUUAAAGACAAUCACAAUAUCCAAUAUAUUUCCUAUAUCACAUGUAGGCCAUCAACAGUCGGAUCAAGGUUUGGCUAUGUCAAGUCCAACACAGCUCCUAGGCAUCAAAUGAUCACAAACUCUGGAGGUUCACUCUCACUCAUGGCACCUGUCUUAAACCGUUUUCUGUUGCUUAUAACAAAAUACCUGAAAAUUUAUUAAAAAAAUAAAGUUUAUUUCUUACAGUUCUGGAGGCUGGGAAGUUCAAGAUUGAGGGGCCACAUCUGGUGAGGGCCUUCUUGAUGGUAGAAACUCUCUGCAGUCCUGAAGUAGCACAAGGUAUCACAUGGCAAGGGGACUAAGUAUGCUAACAUGGUAGCUUAGGUCUCUUUUUCUCUUCUUAUAAAGCCACCAGUUCUAUUUCCAUGAUAAUCCAUCAGUGGAUUAAUCCAUUCACAAGGGCAGAACCCUCAUGUUCCAAUCACCUGUUAAAGGCCAUACCUCUGAAUACUGCCAUAUUGGAGAUAAAGUUUCAACAUAGGUUUUAGAGGGAAUAUUCAAACCAUAGCAUUUCCUUUCUGUGUAUUUGUGUGCACACAUGUACACGUUUGUAGAGACACAGAGAGAGAGGACUAGAGAGGCAGAGAACGCAUAUAUACACCUGUACAUUAAAUCCAUCUAUGUACACAUAUAUGAAGUUGUAAAAAUGGAACCAUAGUAUAUAUCCUCCCCUAUAAAUUUCUCCACUUAAUAGAACGUGAACAUGUUUGUAGGUUCUUUUAUACACAGUUACUUCUUUAUAUAGCAUUCCGUUGUGUGAAUAAAGCAUAAUUUAUUUAGCAAAUCCUUGUUCAUAUAUAUUGGAACAGUUUCCAAAAUUUGGUUAUUAUGAAUAAUGUCACCAAGAACAUUGUCAUACACAUAUAAUGUGUACUCAUACAUGAAUUUCAAUAGGGUGACCUGUUAAUUCAAAUAUUUAUUUAUUAUCUUUCCAGGUAAAAUAUUGGGUAGGUCCUUUGGAGUUCUAGACUAAGUUUGAGGUUACAGAAGAUAUGCUCAACAUCCUCCUUUGACCUGGUCCCAGUUUCACCAUAUUCAAUAGAUGCUUUAUAGUCUCUGGUAAGGAGGUGUACAAUUCUCUGAUUUUAUUACAGUUUUUAGGGAAUUUUAUUUUGUUCAUUUCAACAAGAAAAAUUACAUAAAUAGGUAACAGCUCCACUCAAAGCUGUGUUUUAAACGAACAAAAUAUUGGACUUUGUGAACAAAUGUGGUACUUUUUCUUUCUGUAAUUAUUGGCUAGCAAUCUUAUUUUACUAAAUCUAUACUGACAAAUUUAAUUUGGUCCAUUUAUUUGAGUUUAAAGAUUAUUUCAUACUCUCCCCAGUGAAACAGUCAUGGGCCAUUGCUAUCCUAGCAGCUUCCCUCAAGAACGAUGAGAUAGUCUUCUUUUCCCUCUAGAGCAUAAAUUUCAGUGGCAGGUAAAACUGUUUUAGCAUCAGUAUGCUCACGUCUUCCAUGAUACGUUUUUCUUCCCUACUAAAUUGAAAGUUUCUCUAAGUUACCAUAGCCACUCACAAGUUUUUCUCUACCUAACUGAAGUUGCCAUCUUCUGCUGAUCAUUAGGACAUUAACUUUUAGAAUCAUUUCUGUUUUAACCUCUUAUUUUGAAGGCAGCCUUUUAAUUUCCUCAGAGAAAUUGCAAUGGAACGAAAAUUUGUUCUCUUUUUACAUAUGUACACUUUUAUAAGAGAUGUAAUAUUUUUAGAUAAAAUGUUUAAUUAAUGCA